GAUGAUUGUUGUUGGAAUUGUUGUUGUUGUAGGUGUUUGUUCUUUGUUGCAGUUGUUGUUGUUGACGUUGAUUUUGAUACUGAUGUUGUUGUUGUUGUAUUGGUGUUGUUUGCUGAUUGGAGAAUACUGGAAUGACGGAUGAUACUUGAUGAUGAUGAUGUUGACGGGGUGGUGGAUUUCCUCUGACUUGAGGCCUCCUCUGCUUCCCACUGGUUAUUACGUUUGUUUCAC
Molecule: long non-coding RNA, 231 nt
Filed under: Lathyrus oleraceus (garden pea)
Lineage: Eukaryota; Viridiplantae; Streptophyta; Magnoliopsida; Fabales; Fabaceae
Description: Pisum sativum (pea) long non-coding RNA (PSAT_LNC012163)
Source: RNAcentral